GGGGAUGUAGCUCAGUGAGAGAGUGCUUGCCUAGCAUGCAUGAGACCCUGAGUUCAAGCCCCAGUACCACCA
RNAcentral lists this transfer RNA (72 nucleotides) under Cavia porcellus (domestic guinea pig). It matches the Rfam family "tRNA". From Rfam's summary of the family: Transfer RNA (tRNA) molecules are approximately 80 nucleotides in length. Their secondary structure includes four short double-helical elements and three loops (D, anti-codon, and T loops). Further hydrogen bonds mediate the characteristic L-shaped molecular structure. tRNAs have two regions of fundamental functional importance: the anti-codon, which is responsible for specific mRNA codon recognition, and the 3' end, to which the tRNAs corresponding amino acid is attached (by aminoacyl-tRNA synthetases). tRNAs cope with the degeneracy of the genetic code in two manners: having more than one tRNA (with a specific anti-codon) for a particular amino acid; and 'wobble' base-pairing, i.e. permitting non-standard base-pairing at the 3rd anti-codon position. Lineage: Eukaryota; Metazoa; Chordata; Mammalia; Rodentia; Caviidae. The record is from Rfam by way of RNAcentral.